GGUUGGUCCGAGUGCAGUGGUGUUUACAACUUUGAUCACAACCACUUACAGAUUCCUUUGUUCCUUCUCCACUCCCACUGCUCCACUUGACCAGCCUAAA
This 100-nucleotide Y RNA is filed under the name Propithecus coquereli (Coquerel's sifaka). RNAcentral describes it as "Y RNA (ENSPCOG00000003719.1)". It matches the Rfam family "Y RNA". Rfam says of the family: Y RNAs are components of the Ro ribonucleoprotein particle (Ro RNP), in association with Ro60 and La proteins. Lineage: Eukaryota; Metazoa; Chordata; Mammalia; Primates; Indriidae. The record is from Rfam by way of RNAcentral.